GCACGGGCGGUGUUGCGUUUCGGAGGGUCCAGCACGCCGUCCCAUACCGCCUAAGUCAAGCUUGAACGCGGCCACUACCCAUGGAGGGUGACAGGCCCGUAUGGCGGCGCCCGCGAGGGUACCGAUGGGGCGGUCGGAAAGGGCCUCUCUCCGUAGAGUCGGGUUGCUUGAAAAUGCAGCCCAAAGUAGGUGGUAAACUCCAUCUAAGGCUAAAUAUGACCACGAGACCGAUAGCGAACAAGUACCGUGAGGGAAAGUUGAAAAGAACUUUGAAGAGAGAGUUCAAAAGUACGUGAAACCGUCAAGAGCCAAACGGGUGGAGGCUCGAAGGUCGAAUUGAGGGGAUUCAGCUCGUCGGCAUUUGUUGUUGUUGGCCGGUUGGAGAUGUCACGGUACAACCCUAUUUACCUUGGGUGUCCCUCCUUCCGAGCCGGCGUCGGCGGGCGUACUUCGCCUCUUAGUAGGUCGCCGCGACCCGUUGGAUUAUGGGGACGUCGAAGGCACGAACGGAUUGGUACCCCGCCGCUUAUCUCUUCUCUUACGAGGAGACGACUAGCGACUGGGGGAAACCCUCGUUGUCCUGGCUGCCCCCCGACGGUCGUUGAGAUGAGCCCCCCUUCGUGUCAACGAAGGGGGUCUCUCGCGGCGUGCUAAACCCAAAGGGCGUAAUGAAAGUGAAAAGGCUUGGUGCUGAGACGAGGAAGAUGAUGAUGACGGAGAAGGGAGGUUGUUGAUGCUGCUGUCGUCAUCAUCGGCGGCAGCAGCUCUCUUCUUCCCCCUCCUGACUUCUUUUUGGAAUCUCUCGACACCGCUGGCCAGGGCCGAUCCCCGACCGGUUGCCUUUUCCCGAUUUUCUACCGUCCUUCUCGGCUGGGUACGCGGGGUGAGCCAUUUUCCCUCGUCUCUGCCCGGUCGGGGUUACGGGGGCGGCGGAUGUGUCGGUGGGCGAAGGUCUCAUUUUUUUCACCUGUGGAAAUAAUAAGCUGCUGCAGUAAACAGCGGGGCGCAGGCCCGGGACUUGCCAUAGACGCCACGCGUUCUCCUAGGUGUUUUGUCUUUCUAGGCAUGCCGAACGGGAGCGAGUGUGCAGUCGGCAAGUACCACGAGCAGGCAUGUUGGGACCCGAAAGAUGGUGAACUAUGCCUGGCCAGGAUGAAGCCAGAGGAAACUCUGGUGGAGGUCCGUAGCGAUUCUGACGUGCAAAUCGAUCGUCAGAGCUGGGUAUAGGGGCGAAAGACUAAUCGAACCAUCUAGUAGCUGGUUCCCUCCGAAGUUUCCCUCAGGAUAGCUGGAACUCAACACCAGAUGAAUUUCAUCCGGUAAAGCGAAUGAUUAGAGGUCUUGGGGACGAAACGUCCUCAACCUAUUCUCAAACUUUAAAUGGGUGAGAUGCCGAGCUUGCUUAAAAGAUGAAGCUCGGCGAAGAAUCUGGUAAGCAGAACUGGCGCUGUGGGAUGAACCAAACGUCGAGUUAAGGGGCCUAAAUGAAUGCUCAUUCAGAUCCCAUCGAAAGGUGUUGGUUGCUAUAGACAGCAGGACGGUGGCCAUGGAAGUUGGAAUCCGCUAAGGAGUGUGUAACAACUCACCUGCCGAAGCAACUAGCCCUUAAAAUGGUAUGGCGCUCAAGCAUUCUCCCGAUACUCGACCGCCGGGGCACUACCGACCACACGGUCGGCGGUGGAUUUUUUUCUUCUCGUCGGCCUUAAGGUCUCGAAGCCCCGGCGAGUAGGAGGGUCGCGGUGGUGUGCGCUGAAGGGUUCGGCGUGAGCCGGCCUGGAGCCUCCACCGGUGCAGAUCUUGGUGGUAGUAGCAAAUAAUCGAGAGAGACUCCCUUGAAGGCCGAAGUGGAGAAGGGUUCCAUGUGAACAUCAGUUGGACAUGGGUUAGUCGCUCCUAAGCCCAAGGC
RNAcentral lists this ribosomal RNA (1906 nucleotides) under Evibacus princeps. Its description in RNAcentral is "eukaryotic LSU rRNA". It matches the Rfam family "Eukaryotic large subunit ribosomal RNA", at positions 134 to 1557 of the family's 3401-position model. The record is from RNAcentral. Lineage: Eukaryota; Metazoa; Arthropoda; Malacostraca; Decapoda; Scyllaridae.